GAAGAAGCAAAGUUGAAAGCUUUUGAAACAUGUCUUCAAUCUGGAUUUCUCCUCCAAAAGUCUGGCUGAAUUAAAUGUUUAGUAAUCUCUGCCCAGUACAUUGAGAAGAAAUGUCUGACUAUGCUUUCCAAAGGUGCUGAGAGAGACAAUUUCCAAGAAAACAUCACUCCUUUUUUCUUCCAAGAAAACAAGGUACUUGGGAUUCCUGGUUUCCUCUUCUGACUUAGACAUUGAUUCACAGUCUGGCCUUAGGUGCUGUCAGUCAUUAUUUAUGAAUGUAUGGAAGUGUGCCACUGAGUUACACAACCUCUUAGCCUAAUCAGUCCAGAAUUUUCCAUUAUCUGUUCUUCACUGGAAAACUUGGGAAUUAAAAUAAGUUAUGUCUGAUU
Molecule: long non-coding RNA, 389 nt
Filed under: Cyanistes caeruleus (blue tit)
Lineage: Eukaryota; Metazoa; Chordata; Aves; Passeriformes; Paridae
Description: lncRNA (ENSCCEG00000007290.1)
Source: RNAcentral